GAAUAUGAAGGAAAACUGGCUGUGACAGCUGUCAACACAUUGAUUUCCAGCAUUGAUACAGAUGGUCUGAGCUGAUCCCUGGUCUCCCUUAUCACUUCAAUUGUGUCUCUUCCAGAGCUAUGUGCUUAUUCAAAGAGGACCAGUCAUGAAGGGUAUUUUAAAAGUACAUUCCCUUUGUAUAAUUUCCAGGCAUGUUUACACCAUUCAAAGGUAAAUCUGUAGAACAUAAAUAUGUAGAAUAAAUAGACACAUUUUGGUUGUGUGUCCUUUUUC
This 273-nucleotide small nuclear RNA is filed under the name Carlito syrichta (Philippine tarsier). RNAcentral's name for it is "7SK RNA (ENSTSYG00000024891.2)". It matches the Rfam family "7SK RNA". From Rfam's summary of the family: 7SK was discovered as an abundant small nuclear RNA in the mid-70s but a possible function has only recently been suggested. Lineage: Eukaryota; Metazoa; Chordata; Mammalia; Primates; Tarsiidae. The record is from Rfam by way of RNAcentral.